This 239-nucleotide ribosomal RNA is filed under the name uncultured bacterium. RNAcentral describes it as "partial 16S ribosomal RNA". It matches the Rfam family "Bacterial small subunit ribosomal RNA", at positions 105 to 339 of the family's 1533-position model. The record is from RNAcentral.
UGGUGAGUAACGCGUGGGUGAUCUGCCCUUGGGUUGGGGAUAGCCAUUAGAAAUAGUGGGUAAUACCGAAUACGUUGGGAUGACUACGGUCAUUUCAGGAAAGGCGCUACGGCGCCGCCCAUGGAUGAGCCCGCGUCAGAUUAGCUAGUUGGUGGGGUAAUGGCCUACCAAGGCGAUGAUCUGUAGCCGGCCUGAGAGGGUGUACGGCCACACUGGGACUGAGAUACGGCCCAGACUCC